UUUAGAAAUAAACUAUACAAUUAUGAAUUAGGUCAUUAAAUUAUACUAUUAUUAAUAAUAACAGUAAAAUAUUUAAUUAUCGUAAGUAUGUACAUAAUACAUAUAUACUAGAACACAUUUAAAUUGCAUAGGCGGUGUCGCUGUCACGGUUCGUCUAAUAUACAAAUUGUUGUGCACAACCAUUGAAAUUGUCCUUAAACUAGGUCUGCUUCAAGUGGUUUUACACAGAUUUUGUUCACCCACCGUCUUGAGAUGAAGUCACUUGGGCCCAAAUAACGUUCAAUGACUUUUCUCUGAAACAAACAAAAAAGUUCUGUUAAAUAUCAAGUUUUCCGCAUUCAUCAAUCAUGUCGACUAAUAUCAUUAACAUAAAUAAAGGUUUUCACAAUACUAAUAAUUAUGACCAAUCUCUUUUAAUAAGUCGCACAUUUCAAACUAGGAAACAAAAUCGUAGCAUGGGGCGUUCUGGAUCCACAUCAUCGGCAUUAGCGUUAAUCGCAUUUUUAUUUUUCUUGAAUAUGUUGCAGAGAUCAUUGGAUGAUAAUAAACCGAAAAUGCCAAUUGUUAUGACACGUACAACCACACCACAAACAUUACCGCGCAAUGAAAAACCAGAAACUGAAAACUCACGUUCAGCGACUACUAAUGGUGGAGUUCUCAUUUCAAAAUUGGAUAACAAUAACAAUAAAUAUAGUGAAACUUGAAAAUAUGGUAAAGUAAACGAUUCCAUAAAAUGCUUACCAAAUAAAUAUUAACAGCAUAUUAAAUUUAGCUCAUUGUUCAGUGUCUUCAUUUUACUAAAAUUUUAUUACAUUUAAUUUUAAAUGCAACAUCUUACAUGCUUAUAAAAUUAUAUUAUAUAUUAAU
Adelges cooleyi (spruce gall adelgid) is the source of this 867-nucleotide long non-coding RNA. RefSeq lists it as uncharacterized. NCBI's taxonomy places the organism in Eukaryota, Metazoa, Arthropoda, Insecta, Hemiptera, Adelgidae. The record is from RefSeq and is a predicted model, not a curated record. The transcript has 3 exons.